RNAcentral lists this ribosomal RNA (301 nucleotides) under uncultured bacterium. Its description in RNAcentral is "partial 16S ribosomal RNA". It matches the Rfam family "Bacterial small subunit ribosomal RNA", at positions 509 to 807 of the family's 1533-position model. The record is from RNAcentral.
CUGCAGCCGCGGUAAUACGAAGGGUGCAAGCGUUACUCGGAAUUACUGGGCGUAAAGCGUGCGUAGGUGGUGGUUUAAGUCCGUUGUGAAAGCCCUGGGCUCAACCUGGGAAUUGCAGUGGAUACUGGGUCACUAGAGUGUGGUAGAGGAUAGUGGAAUUUCCGGUGUAGCAGUGAAAUGCGUAGAGAUCGGAAGGAACAUCUGUGGCGAAGGCGACUAUCUGGGCCAACACUGACACUGAGGCACGAAAGCGUGGGGAGCAAACAGGAUUAGAUACCCCGGUAGUCCCUGUCUCUUAUAC